GCAUAUCAAUAAGCGGAGGAAAAGAAACCAACAGGGAUUGCCCUAGUAACGGCGAGUGAAGCGGCAACAGCUCAAAUUUGAAAUCUCGGCGUCUUCGGCGUCCGAGUUGUAAUUUGCAGAGGGCGCUUUGGCAUUGGCAGCGGUCCAAGUUCCUUGGAACAGGACGUCACAGAGGGUGAGAAUCCCGUACGUGGUCGCUAGCCUUUACCGUGUAAAGCCCCUUCGACGAGUCGAGUUGUUUGGGAAUGCAGCUCUAAAUGGGAGGUAAAUUUCUUCUAAAGCUAAAUACUGGCCAGAGACCGAUAGCGCACAAGUAGAGUGAUCGAAAGAUGAAAAGCACUUUGGAAAGAGAGUUAAAAAGCACGUGAAAUUGUUGAAAGGGAAGCGCUUGCAGCCAGACUUGCCUGUAGUUGCUCAUCCGGGUUUCUACCCGGUGCACUCUUCUAUAGGCAGGCCAGCAUCAGUUUGGGCGGUUGGAUAAAGGUCUCUGUCAUGUACCUCCUUUCGGGGAGAACUUAUAGGGGAGACGACAUGCAACCAGCCCGGACUGAGGUCCGCGCAUCUGCUAGGAUGCUGGCGUAAUGGCUGUAAGCGGCCCGUCUUGAAACACGGACCAAGGAGUCUAACAUCUAUGCGAGUGUUUGGGUGUCAAGCCCGAACGCGUAAUGAAAGUGAACGGAGGUGGGAACCUUUCGGGGUGCACCAUCGACCGAUCCUGAUGUCUUCGGAUGGAUUUGAGUAAGAGCAUAGCUGUUGGGACCCGAAAGAUGGUGAACUAUGCUUGAAUAGGGUGAAGCCAGAGGAAACUCUGGUGGAGGCUCGCAGCGGUUCUGACGUGCAAAUCGAUCGUCAAAUUUGGGCAUAGGGGCGAAAGACUAAUCGAACUAUCUAGUAGCUGGUUCCUGCCGAAGUUU
This 914-nucleotide ribosomal RNA is filed under the name Ectophoma multirostrata. RNAcentral's name for it is "LSU rRNA". It matches the Rfam family "Eukaryotic large subunit ribosomal RNA", at positions 38 to 969 of the family's 3401-position model. Lineage: Eukaryota; Fungi; Ascomycota; Dothideomycetes; Pleosporales; Didymellaceae. The record is from RNAcentral.